RNAcentral lists this ribosomal RNA (497 nucleotides) under uncultured bacterium. RNAcentral describes it as "partial 16S ribosomal RNA". It matches the Rfam family "Bacterial small subunit ribosomal RNA", at positions 28 to 507 of the family's 1533-position model. The record is from RNAcentral.
GAUGAACGCUGGCGGCGUGCCUAAUACAUGCAAGUCGAGCGAACAGACGAGGAGCUUGCUCCUCGGACGUUAGCGGCGGACGGGUGAGUAACACGUGGAUAACCUACCUAUAAGACUGGGAUAACUUCGGGAAACCGGAGCUAAUACCGGAUAAUAUAUUGAACCGCAUGGUUCAAUAGUGAAAGACGGUUUUGCUGUCACUUAUAGAUGGAUCCGCGCCGCAUUAGCUAGUUGGUAAGGUAACGGCUUACCAAGGCAACGAUGCGUAGCCGACCUGAGAGGGUGAUCGGCCACACUGGAACUGAGACACGGUCCAGACUCCUACGGGAGGCAGCAGUAGGGAAUCUUCCGCAAUGGGCGAAAGCCUGACGGAGCAACGCCGCGUGAGUGAUGAAGGUCUUCGGAUCGUAAAACUCUGUUAUUAGGGAAGAACAAAUGUGUAAGUAACUAUGCACGUCUUGACGGUACCUAAUCAGAAAGCCACGGCUAACUACGUG